This 401-nucleotide long non-coding RNA is filed under the name Danio rerio (zebrafish). Its description in RNAcentral is "si:ch211-179l5.4 (ENSDARG00000092007.3)". The record is from RNAcentral. Lineage: Eukaryota; Metazoa; Chordata; Actinopteri; Cypriniformes; Danionidae.
AUGAUCUUCUGGUGACCAUCAGAAGCGACGGCGCGCUUUUAAACGGAGGAAAAUUAAUUUUUAAUCUUGUCACAGGUCCAAUAGUGUCUGGCAUUAUCUGCGCAGGCGAGCAGGUGAACCAUCUGUAUCAGCGGGAAACUGAACAACCCUGGCAGGGGGAAGCUCGAGAGGCUGAGAGAAACGGACUUGACGUCUUGUUGACUUGGACUGCUGCUCCUUUAGCGGCAAACAAAAAACAGACGCCACAUGAUCAAAACCAUUACAAACACAAACAGAGUGUACAGACGACCAGCGCUGCAUCAGCAUAUUUUUCAGUGUUUUGAACAGUCUCUUCUUCUUGCAAAUUAUUUUAUUUAAAAUUCAUGCAUUCGAUUAACGAUAAAUUAAAACUUCAUUUCAUC